Molecule: non-coding RNA, 225 nt
Organism: Pelobates cultripes (western spadefoot toad)
Lineage: Eukaryota; Metazoa; Chordata; Amphibia; Anura; Pelobatidae
Source: the annotation of a GenBank genome assembly
AAUCAUUCUUAAUUAAUAUGGAAUAUUAUUAUCACACCAAGACUGACUGCAGGACAGCACUGGGUGGACUACUAACGGGAACGGCAUUCCUGCUGUGAAAAAAGUGCAGAAACGCUGUUCCCACACAUUUCUGCAGGACUCGAGCCCUGUUUCCCCAUAAAGCUUCUCAUCACAUGGAAUAGCAAGACUUUCAUCACAUCCACUCCCCAGGAAGGAAUGAAGUCG